CUAACACAUGCAAGUCGAACGGUAACAUUGAUGCUUGCAUCAGAUGACGAUUGGCGCACGGGUGAGUAACGCGUAUACAAUCUGCCUUUUACAGGGGGAUAGCCUUUAGAAAUGAAGAUUAAUUUCCCAUAGUAAGUUGUUAUUGCAUGAUAGUAACUUUAAAGUUUCGGCGGUAAAAGAUGAGUAUGCGUUCUAUUAGCUAGAUGGUGUGGUAACGGCACACCAUGGCGACGAUAGAUAGGGGCCCUGAGAGGGGGAUCCCCCACACUGGUACUGAGACACGGACCAGACUCCUACGGGAGGCAGCAGUGAGGAAUAUUGGACAAUGGGCGAGAGCCUGAUCCAGCCAUGCCGCGUGCAGGAAGACUGCCCUAUGGGUUGUAAACUGCUUUUAUACAGGAAGAAACCUUUUCACGUGUGAAAAGCUGACGGUACUGUAAGAAUAAGGAUCGGCUAACUCCGUGCCAGCAGCCGCGGUAAUAC
This 483-nucleotide ribosomal RNA is filed under the name uncultured marine bacterium. RNAcentral describes it as "bacterial SSU rRNA". It matches the Rfam family "Bacterial small subunit ribosomal RNA", at positions 48 to 526 of the family's 1533-position model. The record is from RNAcentral.